UGGGCAACCUGCCCUCAGCUCUGGGAUAACUCCGGGAAACCGGUGCUAAUACUGGAUAUCGACUUCUGCUCGCAUGGGUGGUUGUUGAAAGUUUUUCGGCUGGGGAUGGGCCCGCGGCCUAUCAGCUUGUUGGUGGGGUGAUGGCCUACCAAGGCGACGACGGGUAGCCGGCCUGAGAGGGCGACCGGCCACACUGGGACUGAGACACGGCCCAGACUCCUACGGGAGGCA
This 231-nucleotide ribosomal RNA is filed under the name uncultured bacterium. RNAcentral's name for it is "partial 16S ribosomal RNA". It matches the Rfam family "Bacterial small subunit ribosomal RNA", at positions 118 to 350 of the family's 1533-position model. The record is from RNAcentral.